Papaver somniferum (opium poppy) is the source of this 3361-nucleotide long non-coding RNA. RefSeq lists it as uncharacterized. The record is from RefSeq and is a predicted model, not a curated record. The transcript has 4 exons. NCBI's taxonomy places the organism in Eukaryota, Viridiplantae, Streptophyta, Magnoliopsida, Ranunculales, Papaveraceae.
UCAAAGCUAAAGUCCCUUUUCUAGAUUUCUCGGGGACCAUAAGAAAAAGAAAAAUUCCCACCUUUUGUUUCCUUCAAGUAACCGUUUCUUCUUUCUUUCAAUGGGAGAGUUGUUUGUUUAUCGAUUUUUAAGUCCUUUCAGUCAAAGGGUUCUUCUUACAUUGCAAGAGAAGAAAAUUCCUCUUUCUAACAAAAACCCAAAUGGUAUGAUGUAUUCUAAAUGUUUGCGGUUUGAACUGAACUAAAACUGAAAUAAGGGUGUGUAAUGUACCAAUUGUUGAUUAUGUUUUUGGUGAUUAAUCCAAAUGGGUACCAGUAGUCAAAUUUUAUGGUAAAUAAAAUGGGUACCUGAUUCUGAUGUUAUUACUCAAAUUCUUUGAGAAGAAUUACCCAAAACCAUCUCUUGUUAUUCCGCCUCAAUACGCCUCACUGUAAUCUCUCUGAUGUUCAUUUAAUAGCUUAGUCUGUAUGUUUUGAUUAUGAAUUGUUGAUCAGCCCCAUUGUUACUUGAAAAUGGAAUUAUGAUUUUCGUGAUUCUCAUUGUAUGUAUCCUGCAUAUUCAGAACUAUUCAUUUGUCUUGAUCAGAAGAACUAUUCAUUUGUCAUGUAAGUCAUUUACAUGGACUAAAUUCUGGAAUCUGCCAUGAAGGAUUAAUGUAUGUUUGGUUGUUAUCUCAUUGUCAUGAACUUAUCAGAAACCUUCUUAGUCAGUUGUUGUGUCUUGGUUUAAGUUAGUGGAAGCAUCAAACUAAGCAGUUGUUUUCUAUAGCAAAUGCUGUUCACAUGUGCAUAUUGCCGAUGGAGAAUAUAAAAAUGCAAUUGAAAGUGGUAGUCGAAAUGAAUCACCUCAUUGUUCAGAAACUAUCCAUGCCAAACCUGAUGGUAAGUGAAUCACCUCAUUUUUCUUGUGGUCAAAGGAGUUCAGUAAAAAUAGUCAUUAUUCAGAAACUUGUUACCUGGAUCUGCAAGCUUUCUCAAAUGUUGGGAGAGUUCUAUUUAUCUUGUUAAUGUCCAUAAGCAUGAAAUUCACAAUGGGCAGCUGAGCUUUAGGGGAAACGUGUACUUGAGCACAAUUGCGGCUACGGACUAUCGGGGAUCUUAGCUUCCUUAAAGGGAGUUUCAGAGGUGCGUUUUCAGGAUCCGAAUGCGGAAACAGUAAGAUGUUCAACCAUACAUGAGUGUGCUUGCAAUCUCAUCCUUUAUUUUCUUGCAAAUCUAAUUACAGGCUACCAUAAUCUAAUUUCAAUGGGCUUGAUGUACACUGUAGUGAUUUAUUUUGUAUAUACUUGGGGGUUGAAUUUAUCAAUCAGGCACCAGUUUCUGUGAUAACUAACAUUAUUUAUGUUUCCAUUCCGUCAUUAACUACACCCAACCUAAUUGUUGCUACUUUUCCACCUCCGUGGGAAGGACAGUGAGCCAGUUACCUUGCAGGCUACAACCAGGAUUCAGACCAAUGAUUCUGUUGUUGAGUAGGAUUUUGACAUCUUGAGUUUGCACUUAAAGUGUGGUUAGUCGCACACUUAAUGCCUACUUCCACAGCUGCAUCAAUUUUCCAUUUGUUUUAUUCUGAUCCAGUUAGAUCUCAAGGUGCAUCUUUUCAGUCUGAUGAUAACAAUGGCAUUGAAAUAUAUUUAAGCUUUAUUCAGUACCCAACACUAGCUCAGUUGCAUUAACUCCGUAAACAGUCAUUACUACUAAUAGUCUAAAAUGGUUAUUGAUGUCUCAUUCUUUGUUUCUCACUAGCAUUUUUAAUUUCCCCAUACUUGGCAUCUUGAGAGAUCCUAGUGAAUAUUGCUCAGUUAAUGCUUUGCUCGUUUUUUGUCAACUGACAGCUCUCAUGUGAAAUAUCUUUUGUAGCUCUCCGAAGAGAUACAGAACAACAGCUUUUCACUAUUUUAGAACCUUAGGUCAUCAAUGGCUUGCAUAUAAAACCUCUGGUACAUCUGGUAAAGUAUCCUUAACUCACAGUGUCAUCAGCUGGACAUGCUUUGCUUGCUUUCAUACAUGGUCAGCUUCCAGGGGAAAAAGCUUUUGAAGCUGUCGGAGGAGAUACCCAAUAAUAGCCUUUCCCUGUUUUAAACCCAUAAGUCAUUUUGGCAUAUAUAGCCUCUGGUGCUUCUGGUCACUGUAGUAAUACUGUCAUUUCUUGAUGUUGUCAAAGAAUAAUAGGGUCUCUAGGGAUGAAGAUUCUGAUGUUGACUAUUUCCUAAGAAGUGAAGCAAGUCUGUGUUUGAUAAUCUCCCUGCUAGGAUUCAAUUGGCUUUACAUGAUCUAAAUCAAGUUCAAAUUGAGUUUGACAAUGACCCAUCUUAUUUUUCUAGAAAAAAUUCUAGUGUUUUAUGUUUUAACUGCUAUGACCAAGACAAUGCAGCUGGUAUACAGGUCAAUGUAACCUUUCCCAGCAACUCCAACCAUGAUAUGUAAAAAUGUACAAAACCAGUAGUAACUCUACCGUGUACAUUGUUUCUUCCUAUGCCGGUAAAAGAGAGAUGUCCAGUAGCGGAUCGGUAAUGAAGCAACUCCAACAAUGCUGAAUUCCCUCAUCUACAAACUCCCAUAGUACAGAUUAAGGACGACCGGAAUCAGUAAAAAAGAUUUUAAGCUUACACACCACUGGAUGGUAGUGUAGGGGAUUACAAACCAAAACCUCCAAGGAACAGGUCCAAGGAAAGACGGAUUUUUUUUCCUUUGACAUAAAAGCGGUGAAAGCCCAAUUCAUGAUAAAAGCGGUGAAAGCCCAAUUAUCAGCUUUAACAUAUUUUAUCUUCUUCUUCGGCUCAUCAAAAAGAAAUGGAAAACCACGGUGUAACCGGACCGGAGUACUGUUGGUACUAUCUCAAUUCUCAAAAUUCAUAAUCAUGCAGCAAUGGGAUGCAACAUGACCUUCUCAUCAGAAGAGGCAGAAGCUCUAGCUCUCCUCAAUACAACUCAAUGGGCAGUCACAAACAACAUACAACAAUUGUGAUUGAAUGAGACAACCAGGCAACAAUCAAGUAUCUUCAAGGCAGAGAAUCAACAGUCCAAUGGCAAUGUAUAACCAUCUUAGAUGAAGUUAAAUUAUUAGCUAAGAAUUUAGUCUCUUUUCUAGGUUUUCAGUAUGUAGAUAUGAGAGCUAACAAGGUGGCAGACUUGUUAGCAAAGAAGGGAAGAAGUUCUGAUAAUACAACUUCCUGGAAUGAAGAACCUCCUAGCCUUUUAAUUCCUUCAAUUGCUUUUGACACUGUCAAAGCAUAUGAAUCCUGUAACUUAAACAACAUUCUCCCUAUAACUGCUAUUACUGAUGUUAAUCUUAGAAAUUCAGCCAUUAGAAGAGUCAUUCCUCAUGAAAUGGUCUCUGAAGAGUCUGAAUACGCAGAUUAACG